ACGGGAGGCAGCAGUGGGGAAUAUUGCGCACUGGGGGAAACCCUGACGCAGCGACGCCGCGUGAGUGAUGAAGUAUUUCGGUAUGUAAAGCUCUUUAAGCAGGGAAGAUAAUGACGGUACCUGCAGAAUAAGCACUGGCUGAAUACGUGCCAGCAGCCGCGGUAAUACGUAUGGUGCAAGCGUUAUCCGGAUUUACUGGGUGUAAAGGGAGUGUAGGUGGUCUGGCAAGCCAGAAGUGAAAACCCGGGGCUCAACUCCGCGGAUUGCUUUUGGAACUGUUGGACUGGAGUGCAGGAGGGGUAAGCGGAAUUCCCAGUGUAGCGGUGAAAUGCGUAGAUAUUGGGAGGAACACCAGCGGCGAAGGCGGCUUACUGGACUGUAACUGACACUGAGGCACGAAAGCGUGGGGAGCAAACAGGAUUAGAUACCCUGGUA
This 435-nucleotide ribosomal RNA is filed under the name uncultured Lachnospiraceae bacterium. RNAcentral describes it as "partial 16S ribosomal RNA". It matches the Rfam family "Bacterial small subunit ribosomal RNA", at positions 341 to 792 of the family's 1533-position model. Lineage: Bacteria; Bacillati; Bacillota; Clostridia; Lachnospirales; Lachnospiraceae. The record is from RNAcentral.